Molecule: ribosomal RNA, 253 nt
Filed under: uncultured bacterium
Lineage: Bacteria
Description: partial 16S ribosomal RNA
Rfam family: Bacterial small subunit ribosomal RNA
Source: RNAcentral
UACAGAGGUGGCAAGCGUUGUUCGGAAUUACUGGGCGUAAAGGGCGCGUAGGCGGCUUGGUCAGUCCCGUGUGAAAUCCCUCGGCUCAACUGAGGAACUGCACGGGAAACUGCCUGGCUUGAGUUCGGGAGAGGGAAGCGGAAUUCCGGGUGUAGCGGUGAAAUGCGUAGAUAUCUGGAGGAAUACCGGUGGCGAAGGCGGCAUCCUGGACCGGCAUUGACGCUGAGGAGCGAAAGCCAGGGGAGCAAACGGG